UACGUAGGGGGCAAGCGUUGUCCGGAAUCAUUGGGCGUAAAGAGCGUGUAGGCGGCCAGAAAAGUCCGCUGUGAAAACUCGAGGCUCAACUUCGAGCUGUCGGUGGAAACUUUCUGGCUAGAGUCCGGAAGAGGAGAAUGGAAUUCCUGGUGUAGCGGUGAAAUGCGCAGAUAUCAGGAAGAACACCCCGUGGCGAAGGCGGUUCUCUGGGACGGUACUGACGCUGGAGACGCGAAAGCGUGGGGAGCGAACAGG
RNAcentral lists this ribosomal RNA (255 nucleotides) under uncultured bacterium. Its description in RNAcentral is "partial 16S ribosomal RNA". It matches the Rfam family "Bacterial small subunit ribosomal RNA", at positions 524 to 776 of the family's 1533-position model. The record is from RNAcentral.